RNAcentral lists this ribosomal RNA (722 nucleotides) under Halomonas sp. 405. RNAcentral's name for it is "bacterial SSU rRNA". It matches the Rfam family "Bacterial small subunit ribosomal RNA", at positions 761 to 1484 of the family's 1533-position model. Lineage: Bacteria; Pseudomonadati; Pseudomonadota; Gammaproteobacteria; Oceanospirillales; Halomonadaceae. The record is from RNAcentral.
UUGGGGAAAAAAAUAGAGUACCUGGUAGUCCACGCCGUAAACGAUGUCGACUAGCCGUUGGGACCUUUAAGGACUUAGUGGCGCAGUUAACGCGAUAAGUCGACCGCCUGGGGAGUACGGCCGCAAGGUUAAAACUCAAAUGAAUUGACGGGGGCCGGCACAACCGGUGGAGCAUGUGGUUUAAUUUCGAUGCAACGCGAAGGACCUUACCUACCCUUGACCAUCCGGGGAACUUGGCAGAGAUGCCUUGGUGCCUUCGGGAACUCCGAGACAGGUGCUGCAUGGCUGUCGUCAGCUCCUGUUUUGAAAUGUUGGGUUAAGUCCCGUAACGAGCCCAACCCUUGUCCUUAUUUGCCAGCACGUAAUGGUGGGAACUCUAAGGAGACUGCCGGUGACAAACCGGAGGAAGGUGGGGACGACGUCAAGUCAUCAUGGCCCUUACGGGUAGGGCUACACACGUGCUACAAUGGCCGGUACAAAGGGUUGCGAGACCGCGAGGUGGAGCGAAUCCCAGAAAGCCGGCCUCAGUCCGGAUCGGAGUCUGCAACUCGACUCCGUGAAGUCGGAAUCGCUAGUAAUCGUGAAUCAGAAUGUCACGGUGAAUACGUUCCCGGGCCUUGUACACACCGCCCGUCACACCAUGGGAGUGGACUGCACCAGAAGUGGUUAGCUUAACCUUCGGGAGAGCGAUCACCACGGUGUGGUCCAUAACUGGGGCUGAU